Molecule: ribosomal RNA, 373 nt
Filed under: uncultured organism
Description: bacterial SSU rRNA
Rfam family: Bacterial small subunit ribosomal RNA
Source: RNAcentral
CGGGGGGAGCAAGCGUUGUUCGGAUUUACUGGGCGUAAAGGGCGCGUAGGCGGCGCUACAAGUCACUUGUGAAAUCUCCGGGCUUAACCCGGAGCGGCCAAGUGAUACUGUCGUGCUAGAGUGCGGAAGGGGCUACUGGAAUUCUCGGUGUAGCGGUGAAAUGCGUAGAUAUCGAGAGGAACACCUGCGGCGAGGGCGGGUAGCUGGGCCGACACUGACGCUGAGGCGCGAAAGCCAGGGGAGCGAACGGGAUUAGAUACCCCGGUAGUCCUGGCCUUAAACGAUGGAUGCUUGGUGUCCGGGGUUACAUAGUCCCCGGGUGCCGGCGCUAACGCAUUAAGCAUCCCGCCUGGGGAGUACGGUCGCAAGACUG